CUGGCAGCAUUAGAAAUUGAAUUCCUGAAUACAUCAACAGGCCAGGUAUGUUUCAGACAGAUGCUCCCUAUCUCAGGCUGCCCUGCCAAUGACCUCAACCCUGAUUUGGAAGGACAUCUCAAUCUACUACAAAGAGGAAAGGUAAUUUCUACCAGGCCCUGUUGGCUCAGUCUUAGACCACU
Molecule: small RNA, 182 nt
Filed under: Sphenodon punctatus (tuatara)
Lineage: Eukaryota; Metazoa; Chordata; Lepidosauria; Sphenodontia; Sphenodontidae
Description: TUC338 (ENSSPUG00000019051.1)
Source: RNAcentral